This is a long non-coding RNA of Cucumis melo (muskmelon), 856 nucleotides long. RefSeq lists it as uncharacterized. Lineage: Eukaryota; Viridiplantae; Streptophyta; Magnoliopsida; Cucurbitales; Cucurbitaceae. The transcript is spliced from 3 exons. The record is from RefSeq and is a predicted model, not a curated record.
AUUUUGAAGACAUCCAACUUCUAUUUUUUUUUUCCUUCUUCAAUUUGCAGAGAACUUCUAAGAGAGAGAUUGGAAGAAGAAGAGGAAUUUUACUAGAAUUUUGAUGUUGAAGAAGAGGAGGAGAACUCAAGCAAAGUGUAUCCAUGGCUGAAUUUUAGUUCAUUCUCCACAUCACUGGUUUUUAAUUCGGUUUUGAACGCUUCAAAAGGAAUUAAGAGGUGAUAUUUCCAUUUACUGAAAGUGAACUCAUUUUCAAACAAACUUUAUGAAGAAAGUUGGAGCAAAUUCGGAUAUUCAUUUGGUGCUUUUUGAUGAAGAAAACAGGGCAGAUGGUUUUCACUCGAAAUCAGGAGGUCUCUGAUUUUUCUUGUAUUUCAGAGUGUACCGGUGGAGUUAGAAUCUUUAUUUUGUAUGUUUGGAAAGCUUACUCAAUUUACUACAACUUUCAUGAAGAAAUCGUGAACCCAAAACGACUAAAAAUCAGUUAAAUUGUAGGGACAAGUUAAAGAGGUCUUGUGCGCGCGAUUCUGGAAGUGGUUCUGUUCCGAGGGUUAUCUGAGUGUAUGCACGGGGAAUCAGAUUUAUAUGUCUUCAGGUCAAGAAGAAUUAAACCGAGCUUAUAGACCAAGGAUCUAGCCCUAAACGGUAUAGAUCGAGUUCCCGGUGCCUGAUAAACUGCCUUAGUCUGCAGAAGCUCCGUUAUCGAUUACCAGUACGUGUUCUGAGUUGGGCAUAGAGUCUGUUGUGUUGUGAUGUAUAUACACCCUUGUAUGUUAUAGAUACUCCACAGUUUGUAAAAGCUUUAAGAGCUGUAGUUCUGUAAACUUUGUUAGUUAUAUUUUGAUUAAGGUGUCUU